AAACGAAGCCUUUCUCAAUGUCUGUACU
This 28-nucleotide non-coding RNA is filed under the name Mus musculus (house mouse). Lineage: Eukaryota; Metazoa; Chordata; Mammalia; Rodentia; Muridae. The record is from RNAcentral.